Molecule: long non-coding RNA, 379 nt
Filed under: Ananas comosus (pineapple)
Lineage: Eukaryota; Viridiplantae; Streptophyta; Magnoliopsida; Poales; Bromeliaceae
Description: long non-coding RNA (ACOM_LNC040644)
Source: RNAcentral
UUUUAAACUUUUAAAAUUUUAAUUUUAUUAUUUAAAUUUUAAAUUGUUUGAUUUAAAUCAAUCAACGAUACCUUGACUUUAAAAUUUAAAUAUGUUGUUUAUCUUUGCAGGUUUAGUUAGUUAGUAUAUUUCAUACAAUUCUUGCAGUUAUAACUUUAUUAAAGUAAAUAAUCAGCUUAAAUUUUAAAGUCAAGAUGUCGUUGGCAGACUCAAAUCAAACAAAUUAAAAAAUUUGAUAGUAAAAUCAAAGUUUUAAAAGUUUGGAUAAUAAAUUCAAAAUAGUCCGUAAUUCAGAUAAUUUCUAAAAGUUCUUAUCAAUUUUGUUUAUCAAAUUUGAGAUACCGUUUGAUUUAGGUAUUAGGGAGGGAAAAAUAAGCCA